RNAcentral lists this ribosomal RNA (279 nucleotides) under uncultured bacterium. RNAcentral's name for it is "partial 16S ribosomal RNA". It matches the Rfam family "Bacterial small subunit ribosomal RNA", at positions 506 to 784 of the family's 1533-position model. The record is from RNAcentral.
UGCCAGCAGCCGCGGUAAUACGGAGGGGACUAGCGUUGUUCGGAAUUACUGGACGUAAAGAGUACGUAGGCUGUUUAUCAAGUUGGAUGUGAAAGCCCAGGGCUCAACCCUGGAACUGCAUUCAAAACUGGUAAGCUAGAGAUCGGAAGAGGUAAGUGGAAUUCCCAGUGUAGAGGUGAAAUUCGUAGAUAUUGGGAAGAACACCAGUGGCGAAGGCGGCUUACUGGUCCGAUACUGACGCUGAGGUACGAAAGCGUGGGGAGCAAACAGGAUUAGAUA